CUAAGGAAACCAAUAAAAUCAAUCAUCUUCAGUUUUGAAAGACUUAGGCAACUAAGUUUUUCUUCGUGACUUCACGAAGGGCCUAUAGCUCAGUUGGUUAGAGCACACGCCUGAUAAGCGUGAGGGCGGUGGUUCAAGUCCAUUUAGGCCCACCAGAGUUAUAGGUUUCGUAAGAACACAAAUUCUUUGAAAAUUAGGGAAAUAAUAGUUAUUUAGAAGUCAUAU
RNAcentral lists this unclassified non-coding RNA (225 nucleotides) under Tomato big bud phytoplasma. RNAcentral describes it as "16S-23S ribosomal RNA intergenic spacer". The stretch from base 79 to 152 matches the Rfam family "tRNA". The record is from RNAcentral. Lineage: Bacteria; Bacillati; Mycoplasmatota; Mollicutes; Acholeplasmatales; Acholeplasmataceae.